CGGGAUGGGACAGUUCAGCCCUUUCCGCCACCCCCGCCUUGGCUGCUGGGGCAGGCAAGACGACCGUGACAGCCCCUGCGCUGCCCGAGGGCGCCGCAGCCCCUGCCCUGGGUGACGGCCGGAGCUGGUCUCGGUCCGGGUGCGAGGGGCGGAGCAGCGGCCAUUACUGCGCAGCCUCUUCCGCCUGAGCCCGCUUCGCUGCCUCGGGUGGCAGGCGGGUCCCUCUCCUCCCCUCUGGGCCGUGGUUUUAGGCCUUUACCCGGGGACCUUCUGGCCUCGAGGUGUAGGGGCGGCGAUGGUUUUUCGGCGGUAGCCUGCUCC
This 321-nucleotide long non-coding RNA is filed under the name Homo sapiens (human). Its description in RNAcentral is "HSALNT0112982". The record is from RNAcentral. Lineage: Eukaryota; Metazoa; Chordata; Mammalia; Primates; Hominidae.